UACGGAGGGAGGAAGCGUUGUUCGGAAUCACUGGGCGUAAAGGGCGUGUAGGCGGUCUUGCAAGUCGGGCGUUAAAUCCUUCGGCUCAACCGAAGAUCUGCACCCGAUACUGCAAGGCUUGAGUGCAGGAGAGGAGAGUGGAAUUCCUGGUGUAGCGGUGAAAUGCGUAGAUAUCAGGAAGAACACCAGUGGCGAAGGCGGCUCUCUGGCCUGUCACUGACGCUGAGGCGCGAAAGCUAGGGGAGCAAACAGG
RNAcentral lists this ribosomal RNA (253 nucleotides) under uncultured bacterium. RNAcentral describes it as "partial 16S ribosomal RNA". It matches the Rfam family "Bacterial small subunit ribosomal RNA", at positions 524 to 776 of the family's 1533-position model. The record is from RNAcentral.